Molecule: long non-coding RNA, 277 nt
Organism: Apodemus sylvaticus (European woodmouse)
Lineage: Eukaryota; Metazoa; Chordata; Mammalia; Rodentia; Muridae
Exons: 3
Source: RefSeq, a predicted model, not a curated record
UCCUGAGAACAACCUCAUGGCGCUUGCUCCGGCCACGCACCGCUCCCUGCACCUGCACUUGGGCAUUUUGCUGGGAUUGACAGAGAAUCCGAGGGCUGGCAGUGCACUCAGACAUUCUGACCUUGAAACAAGUUCUCACUAAAUUGCUGAGGUUGGCCUGGAACUUAGGACCCUUCUGCUUUAGCUUCUCAAGUCUCUCCUCAUAAACUUUGUCAUGUAUUAACGUCAUUCCUACAGACAGUUCUGACACUUGAAUCUCUGUCCCACAGUCGGUGAC